UACGGAGGAUGCAAGCGUUAUCCGGAAUGAUUGGGCGUAAAGCGUCCGCAGGUGGCUGUGUAAGUCUGCUGUCAAAGAGCGAAGCUCAACUUCGUAAAGGCAGUGGAAACUACACGGCUAGAGUGCGUUCGGGGCAGAGGGAAUUCCUGGUGUAGCGGUGAAAUGCGCAGAUAUCAGGAGGAACACCGAUGGCGAAGGCAGCUCGCUGGGACGGUACUGACGCUGAGGCGCGAAAGCCAGGGGAGCGAACGGG
Molecule: ribosomal RNA, 253 nt
Filed under: uncultured bacterium
Lineage: Bacteria
Description: partial 16S ribosomal RNA
Rfam family: Bacterial small subunit ribosomal RNA
Source: RNAcentral